This 775-nucleotide ribosomal RNA is filed under the name uncultured bacterium. RNAcentral's name for it is "bacterial SSU rRNA". It matches the Rfam family "Bacterial small subunit ribosomal RNA", at positions 77 to 867 of the family's 1533-position model. The record is from RNAcentral.
AGCUUGCUUUUUAAGCUUAGUGGCGAACGGGUGAGUAACGCGUGAGUAACCUGCCCUAGAGUGGGGGACAACAGUUGGAAACGACUGCUAAUACCGCAUAAGCCCACGGUACCGCAUGGUACUGAGGGAAAAGGAUUUAUUCGCUUUAGGAUGGACUCGCGUCCAAUUAGCUAGUUGGUGAGGUAACGGCCCACCAAGGCGACGAUUGGUAGCCGGACUGAGAGGUUGAACGGCCACAUUGGGACUGAGACACGGCCCAGACUCCUACGGGAGGCAGCAGUGGGGGAUAUUGCACAAUGGGGGAAACCCUGAUGCAGCGACGCCGCGUGGAGGAAGAAGGUUUUCGGAUUGUAAACUCCUGUCGUUAGGGACGAUAAUGACGGUACCUAACAAGAAAGCACCGGCUAACUACGUGCCAGCAGCCGCGGUAAAACGUAGGGUGCAAGCGUUGUCCGGAAUUACUGGGUGUAAAGGGAGCGCAGGCGGGAAGACAAGUUGGAAGUGAAAACCAUGGGCUCAACCCAUGAAUUGCUUUCAAAACUGUUUUUCUUGAGUAGUGCAGAGGUAGAUGGAAUUCCCGGUGUAGCGGUGGAAUGCGUAGAUAUCGGGAGGAACACCAGUGGCGAAGGCGGUCUACUGGGCACCAACUGACGCUGAGGCUCGAAAGCAUGGGUAGCAAACAGGAUUAGAUACCCUGGUAGUCCAUGCCGUAAACGAUGAUUACUAGGUGUUGGGGGAUUGACCCCCUCAGUGCCGCAGUUAACACAAUAAGUAA